UCUGGUUGAUCCUGCCAGUAGUCAUAUGCUUGUCUUAAAGAUUAAGCCAUGCAUGUCUAAGUAUGAACACUUUGUACUUGUGAAACUGCGAAUGGCUCAUUAAAUCAGUUAUAAUUUAUUUGAUGGUCUCUUUGAAUACUACUUGGAUAACCGUGGUAAAUCUAGAGCUAAUACAUGCAUAAAAUCCUAACUGGUCAUUCGUGAUCGGGAGGGAUGUAUUUAUUAGAUUCAAAAGCCAAUGCCAUCUUCUUCGGGAGGUGGAAAUUCUUUCAAUGGUGAUUCAUGAUAACUUUACGAAUCGCAAGGCCUUUUCGUGCCGGCGAUAGUUCAUUCAAAUAUCUGCCCUAUCAACUUUCGAUGGUAGUAUAGAGGACUACCAUGGUGUUAACGGGUAACGGAGAAUCAGGGUUUGAUUCCGGAGAAGGAGCCUGAGAAACGGCUACUACUUCCAAGGAAGGCAGCAGGCGCGCAAAUUACCCAAUCCCGACACGGGGAGGUAGUGACAAAAAAUAACAAUACCGAUCUCAAAUACGAGUUUGGUAAUUGGAAUGAGUACAAUCUAAAACCUUUAACGAGUAUCAAUUGGAGGGCAAGUCUGGUGCCAGCAGCCGCGGUAAUUCCAGCUCCAAUAGCAUAUAUUAAAGUUGUUGCAGUCAAAAAGCUCGUAGUUGGAUUUUGAAGUUUAUUCGUUAUGACCCACCCUAUUUUGGGGUGUGUUUUGUCGUGGCGAAUACUUCUCCUUUACUAGACUUUCACUAUUGCACUUAAUUGAGUGAUAGUUUCAUUUCGAUUUAUUGGGAUGAGUGGUGGACAGACCUAUUGGGUUAGGAUUGUGGAUGAGUCGCUUCUUCGGGGGAGUCUUGUUCUGCCUGAUUCAAUAACUGUUGAUUAGAAAUCUAGUUCUUUUACUUUGAGUAAAUUAGAGUGUUCAAGGCAAGCAAUUUAUUUUAAAAUUCUGCAAUGAAUACUAUUAGCAUGGGAUAAUGGAACAGGACACGUAUUCUAGUUUUUCGUUGGUUUCUAGAAUUUUUUUUAAUUUUUAUUAAUUAUUAGUGUAAUGAUUAAAAGGGACAGUUGGGGGCAUUCGUAUUUCAUUGUCAGAGGUGAAAUUCUUGGAUUUAUGAAAGACGAACUUCUGCGAAAGCAUUUGUCAAAGAUGUUUUCAUUAAUCAAGAACGAAAGUUAGGGGAUCGAAGACGAUCAGAUACCGUCGUAGUCUUAACCAUAAACUAUGCCGACCAGGGAUUGGAAGACGUAUUAUCCUGUUUUAAUCUAAGCAGGAAAACUCCUUCAGUACCUUACGAGAAAUCAUAAGUCUUUGGGUUCUGGGGGGAGUAUGGUCGCAAGGCUGAAACUUAAAGGAAUUGACGGAAGGGCACCACCAGGAGUGGAGCCUGCGGCUUAAUUUGACUCAACACGGGAAAACUUACCAGGUCCAGACACAGUUAGGAUUGACAGAUUGAGAGCUCUU
This 1471-nucleotide ribosomal RNA is filed under the name metagenome. Its description in RNAcentral is "SSU rRNA". It matches the Rfam family "Eukaryotic small subunit ribosomal RNA", at positions 1 to 1259 of the family's 1831-position model. The record is from RNAcentral.